Molecule: long non-coding RNA, 746 nt
Organism: Mangifera indica (mango)
Lineage: Eukaryota; Viridiplantae; Streptophyta; Magnoliopsida; Sapindales; Anacardiaceae
Exons: 2
Source: RefSeq, a predicted model, not a curated record
ACUCCUGCCCCUGAUUUUCAUUUUUAUCAGGCUAUGAUAUUUUUUUAUGCAUUUUUGCGAUGGGAAUGAUUCUAGUGUGAGUAAAUGUCAAUGUUCUCGUUUUAAUCGGUUAUAUUACAUCAAUGGAAAUUGUCUUUGUAUCAAAUCUAACCACCAAUUGCAUCUGUCCUUUUUGGAGGGAAAAAUGAAAUAGUAAAACCAUAGUUAGCAGCCUCUAUUGGUUUAUUGGAACAAUUCCAUAUCCAGGCAAUCUAUGCCAGCCAAUGCAUCAUCUGUAGGAGAUUUGGAGGUGAACGUUGCUGUAUGCCAGGUUAUCAACUCUUCGCUUGAUGUGUUUUAUUGGAAGCAUUUAAAUUUUCGAACCAUGAAGCCCACCAUGGAGACUCUUCUCUAUCAAAGAAAUCAGAAGAGAGCGAAACAAGGUUUCUGUGGCUGGUUUAACAAUAAAGUUACAGAUUGUCCAGUCUCUAGCCUAGGUCAAUAGAGAGCUUUAUUAUGUUUGCUCUACUGCUGAAAAAGCCUUUUGUCAAGAACUAGUCUUUAAGUCAAUUCAGCUUAAAACUGGCCUUUAUCAACAGAAUGUGAAUAUUACUCUACACAAUUGAAUUAGGGCAGUUUGCUGUGGUAUGAAAUUUAGCCAAAGAGGACAUUUCAGAGGAAUUACUUGUAAAUAAGGAUUUGGCUAAUCACGAAAUGGAUAGCCUAUUGCUUUUACAUAUACAAAUAAUCAGCAAUUGUUAAGGCCA